AACGAACGCUGGCGGCAUGCCUAACACAUGCAAGUCGAACGCCCCGCAAGGGGAGUGGCGAACGGGUGAGUAACGCGUGGGAACCUACCAAGCUGCUGGGGAUAACCGCGGGAAACUUCGGCUAAUACCGAAUACGUCCUUAGGGAGAAGGAUUUAUCGCUGUUGGAGGGGCCCGCGUCGGAUUAGCUAGUUGGUGAGGUAACGGCUCACCAAGGCGACGAUCCGUAGCUGGUCUGAGAGGAUAAUCAGCCACACUGGGACUUGGACACGGCCCAGACUCCUACGGGAGGCUGCAGUGGGGAAUAUUGGACAAUGGGGGCAACCCUGAUCUAGCAAUGCCGCGUGAGUGAUGAAGGCCUUAGGGUUGUAAAGCUCUUUUACCGGGGACGAUGAUGACGGUACCCGGAGAAUAAGCCCCGGCUAACUUCGUGCCAGCAGCCGCCGUAA
Molecule: ribosomal RNA, 447 nt
Filed under: uncultured bacterium
Lineage: Bacteria
Description: partial 16S ribosomal RNA
Rfam family: Bacterial small subunit ribosomal RNA
Source: RNAcentral